CCAGGGUUGCACAAUUGUUCUUCAAGAAGAGACGGCGAGGUAAGCGAAUACCUUCCUCUUAAUAAUGUGAGCAUUCAAUUACGAUCACAUAUCGAAUACCAAACUGGCAAACUUGCGAAUUCAAUGGGAAGGAGGACGAUAGAUAUCGGAAAUGGUUAACUUUUUUAGGUCAAUAUCCUCCUAUAGUUAUGCAAUUUAAAUUGUUGUUUCUUUUGUUUUUCGAAAUUUUUUUUUUGGAAAAGGAGGUAUGGUAACCGUGAUUCAUUAUAGCUUUUUUCCUUUUUUUUUUUUCGGUUUUGACACAUUAUAGUUUUUCUUUCUUUGCCGAGGACAAUAUAUUUAUUAUAGUUGGUUCUCUCUUGAGAAAAUUUGUGAUGUUGUACUCUUUUAUCAUCUCUUAAUAUACGUAGGAUUACCUAAACAUAUUUUCACUCUAUGUUGGAAACAAUUGAGGUACCAUUCAAAGUUGGAUAAAAGAAUCCAGCAGAGCAGACAAUAUCACGUCCUCCUAAACAACAGUUCAUGAUGCUUAUACAUUUAUGAUCCGUAUCUUUAGGAAAAAGUGGUGAUCAGUGUUAUUCGUUGUUAGAAUUGUAGUUGAGCGAAUAAAGGCAGAGAAGUAAGCCAAUCAUGUUCGUGCUUUGGUUCUUGACUGUUCAUUUGUGGAUCUUAUACAUAAAGUUUAGCGGAACGAUUUCGCAGUUUUCAUAAUCUAUUCAUUGGUGCGGCGGUCAAUGAAUUUUUAAAAUAUGCAAAUGACUGCAUUUUUAGUCUAUGUUUAAACAUACAAACUCUUUUCUUUUCAAUUUUCUAUGUUUGUAGUUGUUUUUUUAAGAAUUUUAAGUAAUAUUACGU
Long non-coding RNA from Papaver somniferum (opium poppy), 855 nucleotides. RefSeq lists it as uncharacterized. The transcript is spliced from 4 exons. The record is from RefSeq and is a predicted model, not a curated record. Lineage: Eukaryota; Viridiplantae; Streptophyta; Magnoliopsida; Ranunculales; Papaveraceae.